CAGGAGAAGCUGUACCCAAACCUCGUACCGUGGAUAGGAUAACAGUGCCCUGGCGUCACAAACUGAUCAGGAAAUCCAGAAGCAGGUUAACACUGAAGAUUUGUGCGGUGGAGCAGGCUGUAAUUUACUUGAGUCCACAAGUCCAGGGUAAUCCACAAACAAAGAAUGGCAGCAGCACUUAGGGAAUGCAAAGAAUGAUACACGAGAAAGUAGAAGAUGUCUGGCACUUCACUCCGGUGCUCUCUGCUGACACCUGAUGCCCGUAUCAAGAACUGUCCAGAGCAGGAGAAAAUCCCCAUAGCAAACCUAUGCUGCUCUGGACAGAUGCCAAUCUGAGGAAGGAGGAUUUCACCUCCGAAACGCGUCAUUGGUUUCUGAAUUAAUAAAUACAGUACCUGCUGUUACUUUAACUGUUACAUCUGCAUUGGCUUCGUAAUU
Long non-coding RNA from Hyla sarda, 438 nucleotides. RefSeq lists it as uncharacterized. The record is from RefSeq and is a predicted model, not a curated record. The transcript has 3 exons. NCBI's taxonomy places the organism in Eukaryota, Metazoa, Chordata, Amphibia, Anura, Hylidae.